RNAcentral lists this ribosomal RNA (643 nucleotides) under uncultured bacterium. RNAcentral describes it as "bacterial SSU rRNA". It matches the Rfam family "Bacterial small subunit ribosomal RNA", at positions 232 to 885 of the family's 1533-position model. The record is from RNAcentral.
CGCGGCCUAUCAGCUUGUUGGUGGGGUAAUGGCCUACCAAGGCGACGACGGGUAGCCGGCCUGAGAGGGCGACCGGCCACACUGGGACUGAGACACGGCCCAGACUCCUACGGGAGGCAGCAGUGGGGAAUAUUGCACAAUGGGGGAAACCCUGAUGCAGCGACGCAGCGUGCGGGAUGACGGCCUUCGGGUUGUAAACCGCUUUCAGCAGGGAAGAAGCGAAAGUGACGGUACCUGCAGAAGAAGUACCGGCUAACUACGUGCCAGCAGCCGCGGUAAUACGUAGGGUACGAGCGUUGUCCGGAAUUAUUGGGCGUAAAGAGCUCGUAGGUGGUUUGUCACGUCUGCUGUGGAAACGCAACGCUUAACGUUGCGCGUGCAGUGGGUACGGGCUGACUAGAGUGCAGUAGGGGAGUCUGGAAUUCCUGGUGUAGCGGUGAAAUGCGCAGAUAUCGGGAGGAACACCGGUGGCGAAGGCGGGACUCUGGGCUGUAACUGACACUGAGGAGCGAAAGCAUGGGGAGCGAACAGGAUUAGAUACCCUGGUAGUCCAUGCCGUAAACGUUGGGCACUAGGUGUGGGGGACAUUCCACGUUCUCCGCGCCGUAGCUAACGCAUUAAGUGCCCCGCCUGGGGAGUACGG